RNAcentral lists this ribosomal RNA (365 nucleotides) under uncultured eukaryote. RNAcentral's name for it is "partial 18S ribosomal RNA". It matches the Rfam family "Eukaryotic small subunit ribosomal RNA", at positions 592 to 976 of the family's 1831-position model. The record is from RNAcentral.
CAAUAGCGUAUAUUAACGUUGUUGCAGUUAAAAAGCUCGUAGUUGGGUUUCUGGAGGGAGCGUCGGCCCGUAUUUACGAGUGCGUGACGUCUCUGUCCAUCCUUGCGGGAAGGCACGGCAUUGAUUUGUUGUGUCGGAUCGCAUCAUUUACUGUGAAAAAAUUAGAGUGUUCAAAGCAGGCUUUCGCUUGAAUACAUUAGCAUGGAAUAAUAAGAUAGGACUUUGGUGCCAUUUUGUUGGUUGAGCCUAAAGUAAUGAUUAAUAGGGAUAGUUGGGGCACCUGUAUUGCGUUGUCAGAGGUGAAAUUCUUGGAUUUACGCAAGACAAACAGCUGCGAAAGCGUCUGCCAAGGAUGUUUUCAUUAA